This 74-nucleotide transfer RNA is filed under the name Nannocystis sp. RNAcentral describes it as "tRNA-Arg". It matches the Rfam family "tRNA". From Rfam's summary of the family: Transfer RNA (tRNA) molecules are approximately 80 nucleotides in length. Their secondary structure includes four short double-helical elements and three loops (D, anti-codon, and T loops). Lineage: Bacteria; Pseudomonadati; Myxococcota; Nannocystales; Nannocystaceae. The record is from RNAcentral.
GCUCGCAUAGCUCAGGUGGAUAGAGCGACGGUUUCCUAAACCGUAGGCCGCAGGUUCGAGCCCUGCUGCGGGCG